This 433-nucleotide ribosomal RNA is filed under the name uncultured bacterium. RNAcentral's name for it is "partial 16S ribosomal RNA". It matches the Rfam family "Bacterial small subunit ribosomal RNA", at positions 29 to 507 of the family's 1533-position model. The record is from RNAcentral.
AACGAACGCUGGCGGCAUGCCUAACACAUGCAAGUCGAACUAAUGCUUCGGCCUUAUUUGCGCACGGGUGCGUUACUCGUGGGAAUCUGCCCUUUGCUUCUGAAUAUCAGUUAGAAAUGACUGCUAAUACCGGAUUAUUUCGCACGACCAAAGAUUUAUCGGCAAAGGAUUAGCCCGCGUAGGAUUAGCUAGUUGUUGGGGUAAAGGCCUACCAAGGCGACGAUCCUUAGCUGGUCUGAGAGGAGGAUCAGCCACACUGGGACUGAGACAAGGCCCAGACUGCUAGGGGAAGCAGCAGGGGGGAAUAUUGGACAAUGGGCGAAAGACUGAUCAAGAAAUGACGCGGGAGUGAUGAAGGCCUUAGGGUUGUAAAGCUCUUUUACCAGGGAGGAUAAUGACAGUACCGGGAGAAUAAGCCCAGGCUAACUCCGUG